GAUGAACGCUAGCGGGAGGCCUAACACAUGCAAGCCGAGCGGUAUUGUUUCUUCGGAAAUGAGAGAGCGGCGUACGGGUGCGUAACACGUGUGCAACCUGCCUUUAUCUGGGGGAUAGCCUUUCGAAAGGAAGAUUAAUACUCCACAAUAUAUUGAACGGCAUCGUUUAAUAUUGAAAGCUCCGGCGGAUAGAGAUGGGCACGCGCAAGAUUAGCUAGUUGGUGAGGUAACGGCUCACCAAGGCGAUGAUCUUUAGGGGGCCUGAGAGGGUGAUCCCCCACACUGGUACUGAGACACGGACCAGACUCCUACGGGAGGCAGCAGUGAGGAAUAUUGGUCAAUGGGUGCAAGCCUGAACCAGCCAUCCCGCGUGAAGGACGACUGCCCUAUGGGUUGUAAACUUCUUUUGUAUAGGGAUAAACCUACCCUCGAGAGGGUAGCUGAAGGUACUAUACGAAUAAGCACCGGCUAACUCCGUG
RNAcentral lists this ribosomal RNA (479 nucleotides) under uncultured bacterium. RNAcentral describes it as "partial 16S ribosomal RNA". It matches the Rfam family "Bacterial small subunit ribosomal RNA", at positions 28 to 507 of the family's 1533-position model. The record is from RNAcentral.